RNAcentral lists this long non-coding RNA (360 nucleotides) under Accipiter nisus (Eurasian sparrowhawk). RNAcentral's name for it is "lncRNA (ENSANIG00000016302.1)". The record is from RNAcentral. Lineage: Eukaryota; Metazoa; Chordata; Aves; Accipitriformes; Accipitridae.
GCUCAAAGAGACAUCACCUCUGUGUAUUUUUCUACCCUGAAAAAAAUACUAACUUAAUUAACUGUGUUUUCUCUGUUUAGUGUGCCAAAAUUUUGAGCUGGUGUGUGGGCCACAGGAGGUGUUCUUAGAUUGAUGAGAGUGAAUUGUUUGAGAACUUCUGAGUUGUGAUAAAAGGGAGAGGAACCUGCUCUUUAAGAAUCUCUAACAACUACGGGGAAAGUGUGACAACAAAGGUUUGUUUGUGCAGAAAAGUAGUGAGCGCAGAAUUUGGAUUGCUCUCCACAGAAGUCUCCAGGAAUAUUUACAGGUACCCUUCUUGAAGCAAGCUGAGGCCCUGAUCUUUACAACAUUAUUGCAGGA